Long non-coding RNA from Ahaetulla prasina, 400 nucleotides. RefSeq lists it as uncharacterized. Lineage: Eukaryota; Metazoa; Chordata; Lepidosauria; Squamata; Colubridae. The transcript is spliced from 3 exons. The record is from RefSeq and is a predicted model, not a curated record.
CCUGAAAAUAAGGAUAAAUGGGAUCUUCUUGGCGAAGGGGAGAAAGUGGCGCGUUUCCCAUUCUCGUGUGUGGCUGGACUUCAACGGGUCUUUCGUCGGCGAGCAGGAAAUCAGAAAAACAUGUUGGAGAAUGAAACAAAAAAAUCAUAACAAAUGAACUUCAUAAUCCAGCACCUGUUUCAAAAUCCAUUCUUGUCUUCAUAAAACAGGUUCAACACCUUCCAAUAAGAAAGCAUUGAACAAGGGCUAAUGGUGAAUUUGAAGUAGAAUCCAACAGUAAGAUGCUUAUUCAUCAGAAUGUUCUCCUCCUUGAUCUCCCAGCAGAUUCCUAGGUGCCUUCAAAACCCACAGUAAAGAGAUCCUCAAAAGAUCUUUUGAGGUUGCAUAUAUCUGUACACCA